UUCAACACAAAUUGGUCAAAGGAGGACUUUUACCAAAUUAAGAUCAUUCAUUCAUUUUGGGAGAUGGAAUGUACAUUCUAUCAAUCCCCUAAAUCCAAUGAUCAUAACCUAGCAAAGUCAACAUCAACCUUAACCAAGGCCCAACAACACAAGUCAAACUCAUAAAGUCAAUUGAAAUGGCUCCACACAAUUUAUUUGGCAUUUAAACAAUUAAAAAUAAUAAAAAGAAGCAUUAAAUUGAAUUAUGGUUGGUCAAUUUCCU
RNAcentral lists this long non-coding RNA (262 nucleotides) under Lathyrus oleraceus (garden pea). Its description in RNAcentral is "Pisum sativum (pea) long non-coding RNA (PSAT_LNC009398)". Lineage: Eukaryota; Viridiplantae; Streptophyta; Magnoliopsida; Fabales; Fabaceae. The record is from RNAcentral.